GGACCGGUAGUUCAGCAGAAUGCCGGCCUGUCACGCCGGAGGUCGCGAGUUCGAGUCUCGUCCGGUCCGCCA
This 72-nucleotide transfer RNA is filed under the name Marinobacter nauticus. RNAcentral's name for it is "tRNA-Asp". It matches the Rfam family "tRNA". From Rfam's summary of the family: Transfer RNA (tRNA) molecules are approximately 80 nucleotides in length. Their secondary structure includes four short double-helical elements and three loops (D, anti-codon, and T loops). The record is from RNAcentral. Lineage: Bacteria; Pseudomonadati; Pseudomonadota; Gammaproteobacteria; Pseudomonadales; Marinobacteraceae.